CAGCCAGGAGAAGGAAGUCUAGAAUUGGAUGGCCCCAGGGGGAAAACAGAGAGAAGUCGAGCUCAGUGAUGGCUUGGAAGCAAGUUGGUAGAUGUUUCGAAUGUUACAACGAAGGGUGAGGGAUGUCCUCUUCACGCGCUCCACCACCAAGGAGAAUAUGUUGGAGAUAAUCAUAUCUGGCAAAUCAUGCACAUGGAGACUCCCCACACUUGGUGCCAUUUUUCCUUCUGUGGGAUUUUCUAUUCCUCAACUUUUUUUCUUCCGCAAAGGGAGUGGGAAUGGAUGAUGAGUAGCCUUGGUGUCAUAUGGGGAUGAAGUUCAUCAUGCAUGCAGAAACCUAAAGAGUCUUAAAGACGGACUAAGUGUUUACUUGUGUGUAAGGAUGAAGAUAAAGAUUCAGCGCGGGAAAGUAGUGCUGGCUUAGAGGGAGGAUGGGAAUGAGAGAGAACUUGCAUGGAGUUGUGGGGAUGAAGGAAAGAUACAGUAGUGGAAACUGAUGCCCUUAAGGGAGGAAAGAAGCUCAUGCAUCUGAGCUGUGCUUGUGAGGAUGAAGAAGAUAAAAAUGCAGUGGUGGCUCCACACGCAACAGAGAGAGAGAGAGAGAGAGAAGAAGAAGAAGAAGAAAGAAGCUCAUGCAUCUGAGCUAUGCAGUGGUGGCUCCACAUGCAACAGAGAGAGAGAGAGAGAGAGUAGUAACAGUAGUAGCAGAAACUGGUGGCCUUUAAGAGGAUAGGAGGUUGUGCAUCUGAGGUGAGGGGUAAUGGUGAGGACUGAGGAGGAAGGGAAAGACAGAGUCACAUAAACUGGUGGCUCGAGGGAGAGAGUCUCAAGGGAGGACUUGUAGGGUGGAAGAUAAAGAUGCGGUAAAAAGAGAGUCUCUAGUCUUUGGGUUGCCACCUGUCGCCACGGCCCACAACCCCAUCACCCCUGAUCGUUCAUUUCACUUUUCUUACUCCUUUUUUUCCCUCCCUUUUUCCAUUUCUUUUCACCUUUUUGUGAUAUUUCUUUUCUCAAAAAUUCAUUUAGUCGGCGGUAAUGGUUAUGCCAUCGUCCAGUGGGUCCGGUCCGCUCCACAUGGGUCCUAUAAUUCUCCAAAAACUCAUGAAAAUGUAAGGAAAUGCGUUUGAAAUAUGCCUCACUUUUUCAGGAAAGAGAACUUUACUAAAUGGAAGGAAAUGCGUUCUGUCUAUUUUAUGUAAGUCUCUCAAAGUAAAAAUUCUUUCACGACUCGAAUAAGACCAUUGAUUAAAUACAAAGUGAUCCACAACUUUUGAAAAUGGCCUUUAAGUUUCUUGAUGAAGUGUUAAAGAGUUUGAAGUCAUUCGGUAUCAUUUUGGGUUGCAGGCCUUUUGUUUCC
This 1357-nucleotide long non-coding RNA is filed under the name Vitis vinifera (wine grape). Its description in RNAcentral is "long non-coding RNA (VVIN_LNC003121)". Lineage: Eukaryota; Viridiplantae; Streptophyta; Magnoliopsida; Vitales; Vitaceae. The record is from RNAcentral.